CCAGCAGUUCGGCUGGGCACUCUAAAGGGACUGCCGGUGUUAAACCGGAGGAAGUGGGGGAUGGCGUCAAGUCCUCAUGGCCUUAUGACCAGGGCUACACACGUACUACAAUGGCCGAUACAAAGGGCAGCGACACUGCGAGGUGAAGCCAAUCCCGUAAAAUACGGUCUCAGUCCGGAUUGGAGUCUGCAACUCGACUCCAUGAAGUUGGAAUCGCUAGUAAUCGUGGAUCAGCAUGCCACGGUGAAUACGUUCCCGGGCCUU
Molecule: ribosomal RNA, 264 nt
Filed under: uncultured Desulfobulbus sp.
Lineage: Bacteria; Pseudomonadati; Thermodesulfobacteriota; Desulfobulbia; Desulfobulbales; Desulfobulbaceae
Description: partial 16S ribosomal RNA
Rfam family: Bacterial small subunit ribosomal RNA
Source: RNAcentral